AGGAAUCUGCCUGGUAGUGGGGGACAACGUUUCGAAAGGAACGCUAAUACCGCAUACGUCCUACGGGAGAAAGCAGGGGACCUUCGGGCCUUGCGCUAUCAGAUGAGCCUAGGUCGGAUUAGCUUGUUGGUGAGGUAAUGGCUCACCAAGGCGACGAUCCGUAACUGGUCUGAGAGGAUGAUCAGUCACACUGGAACUGAGACACGGUCCAGACUCCUACGGGAGGCAGCAGUGGGGAAUAUUGGACAAUGGGCGAAAGCCUGAUCCAGCCAUGCCGCGUGUGUGAAGAAGGUCUUCGGAUUGUAAAGCACUUUAAGUUGGGAGGAAGGGUUGUAGAUUAAUACUCUGCAAUUUUGACAUUACCGACAGAAUAAGCACCGGCUAACUCUGUGCCAGCAGCCGCGGUAAUACAGAGGGUGCAAGCGUUAAUCGGAAUUACUGGGCGUAAAGCGCGCGUAGGUGGUUUGUUAAGUUGGAUGUGAAAGCCCCGGGCUCAACCUGGGAACUGCAUCCAAAACUGGCAAGCUAGAGUACGGUAGAGGGUGGUGGAAUUUCCUGU
Molecule: ribosomal RNA, 559 nt
Filed under: uncultured bacterium
Lineage: Bacteria
Description: bacterial SSU rRNA
Rfam family: Bacterial small subunit ribosomal RNA
Source: RNAcentral